RNAcentral lists this ribosomal RNA (493 nucleotides) under uncultured bacterium. RNAcentral describes it as "bacterial SSU rRNA". It matches the Rfam family "Bacterial small subunit ribosomal RNA", at positions 903 to 1397 of the family's 1533-position model. The record is from RNAcentral.
AAAGGAAUAGACGGGGACCCGCACAAGCAGCGGAGCAUGUGGUUUAAUUCGAAGCAACGCGAAGAACCUUACCAGGACUUGACAUCCCUCUGACCGGCACUUAACCGUGCCCUCUCUUCGGAGCAGAGGUGACAGGUGGUGCAUGGUUGUCGUCAGCUCGUGUCGUGAGAUGUUGGGUUAAGUCCCGCAACGAGCGCAACCCUUGUCAUUAGUUGCCAGCAUUUAAGGUGGGCACUCUAGUGAGACUGCCGGGGAUAACUCGGAGGAAGGUGGGGAUGACGUCAAAUCAUCAUGCCCCUUAUGUUCUGGGCUACACACGUGCUACAAUGGCUGGUACAACGAGACGCAAGACCGCGAGGUGGAGCAAAUCUUAAAAACCAGUCCCAGUUCGGAUUGCAGGCUGCAACUCGCCUGCAUGAAGUUGGAGUUGCUAGUAAUCGCGAAUCAGAACGUCGCGGUGAAUGCGUUCCCGGGUCUUGUACACACCGCCCGU